RNAcentral lists this ribosomal RNA (837 nucleotides) under Polyporales sp. FW-2787. RNAcentral's name for it is "eukaryotic LSU rRNA". It matches the Rfam family "Eukaryotic large subunit ribosomal RNA", at positions 102 to 947 of the family's 3401-position model. Lineage: Eukaryota; Fungi; Basidiomycota; Agaricomycetes; Polyporales. The record is from RNAcentral.
GAAAAGCUCAGAUUUAAAAUCUGGCGGCAUUUGGUCGCUCCGAGUUGUAUUCKAAAGAAGUGUUUUCCGCGUUGGACCGUGUAUAAGUCUCUUGGAAUAGAGCGUCAUAGAGGGUGAGAAUCCCGUCUUUGACACGGACUACCAAUGCUUUGUGAUACACUCUCAAAGAGUCGAGUUGUUUGGGAAUGCAGCUCAAAAUGGGUGGUAAAUUCCAUCUAAAGCUAAAUAUUGGCGAGAGACCGAUAGCGAACAAGUACCGUGAGGGAAAGAUGAAAAGCACUUUGGAAAGAGAGUUAAACAGUACGUGAAAUUGCUGAAAGGGAAACGCUUGAAGUCAGUCGCGUUAGCUAGAACUCAACCAGGCUUGCUUGGCGUAUUUUCUAGUUAACGGGCCAGCAUCAGUUUUGACCGCAGGAAAAGGGCCAGGGAAAUGUGGCAUCUUCGGAUGUGUUAUAGUCUCUGGUCGUAUACUGUGAUUGGGACUGAGGACCGCAGCACGCGCAAGCUGUGCUUAGGAUGCUGGCGUAAUGGCUUUAAACGACCCGUCUUGAAACACGGACCAAGGAGUCUAACAAACCUGCGAGUAUUUGGGUGGCAAACCCGAGUGCGCAAUGAAAGUGAAAGUUGGGAUCCCUGUCGUGGGGAGCACCGACGCCCGGACCAGACCUUCUGUGACGGAUCUGCGGUAGAGCAUGUUUGUUGGGACCCGAAAGAUGGUGAACUAUGCCUGAAUAGGGUGAAGCCAGAGGAAACUCUGGUGGAGGCUCGUANCGAUUCUGACGUGCAAAUCGAUCGUCAAAUUUGGGUAUAGGGGCGAAGACUAAUCGAACCAUCUAG